Molecule: ribosomal RNA, 468 nt
Filed under: uncultured bacterium
Lineage: Bacteria
Description: partial 16S ribosomal RNA
Rfam family: Bacterial small subunit ribosomal RNA
Source: RNAcentral
GAUGAACGCUGGCGGCGUGCUUAACACAUGCAAGUCGAACGGAAAGGCCCUGCUUUUGUGGGGUGCUCGAGUGGCGAACGGGUGAGUAACACGUGAGUAACCUGCCCUUGACUUUGGGAUAACUUCUGGAAACUGGGGCUAAUACCGGAUAGGAGCUCCUGCUGCAUGGUGGGGGUUGGAAAGUUUCGGCGGUUGGGGAUGGACUCGCGGCUUAUCCGCUUGUUGGUGGGGUAGUGGCUUACCAAGGCUUUGACGGGUAGCCGGCAUGAGAGGGUGACCGGCGUCAAUGGGACUGAGGUACGGCGCAGACUCCUACGGGAGGCAGCAGUGGGGAAUAUUGCGCAAUGGGCGGGAGCCAGAUGCAGCGGCGCCGCGUGCGGGAUGACGGCCUACGAGUUAUAAACCGCUUUCGCCUGUGACGAAGCGUGAGUGACGGUAAUUGGUAAAGAAGCACCGGCUAACUACGUG